RNAcentral lists this long non-coding RNA (623 nucleotides) under Olea europaea subsp. europaea. Lineage: Eukaryota; Viridiplantae; Streptophyta; Magnoliopsida; Lamiales; Oleaceae. The record is from RNAcentral.
AAAAAGUCGUCUUUUAAGGGUAACAAAGUUUUGAGUUUUCUGCUAUUCAACACGAUUUACAUCAAAAGAAACUACCAAUUACAGUAAGCUAAGGAAGAAGACGACAGUGAAAUCAUGAAGUACUUCAAAAUCCAACCUUCAAAGAACUUACCAAUUAAAUCACGAAAAUAGAAGAAAAAGAAGAAACCUUCAAAAUCAAAACCCAACUGGCAGUAUCCGGAGCCGGCGCCGGCAUUCGUCUUCCAGCAACGGCUAACUCUGUACUUUAUUCAGCAAGGUAAAUUUGAUCAAACUCAAACCUAUACUAUAAUGCGGAUCAGAUAUGAUGACGAUGAGGAGGAAAACUUUAUAUGUUUCGAUUCCCCGUGGAGAUUGGUCGGUCUGCUCACUAGACUUCCCGACUUCGAAACUUUUUUGUUUCAAGAACUUCAGGUGCUUUUUAUGUUAAAUUUCACUGUUAUGUUAUACUGCAAUGUGUUUUUAUGCAGUGCAGAAAUACUUUUUUUUUUUUUUUUUUUUUAUCUUUCCACAUUGCUGGGUCUGAUAAUUUAAUUAUGGCCCAGAGUUUCGAAAUUUUUCUUGACGUUGAUUAUUGGUUUUGCGUAGUCUGAAGGAAGAACUAC